GGUCCAUUCGUCUAUCGGUUAGGACGACAGAUUUUCAUUCUGUAAAGAGCAGUUCGACUCUGCUAUGGACUA
This 72-nucleotide transfer RNA is filed under the name Paludibacteraceae bacterium. Its description in RNAcentral is "tRNA-Glu". It matches the Rfam family "tRNA". Rfam says of the family: Transfer RNA (tRNA) molecules are approximately 80 nucleotides in length. Their secondary structure includes four short double-helical elements and three loops (D, anti-codon, and T loops). Further hydrogen bonds mediate the characteristic L-shaped molecular structure. tRNAs have two regions of fundamental functional importance: the anti-codon, which is responsible for specific mRNA codon recognition, and the 3' end, to which the tRNAs corresponding amino acid is attached (by aminoacyl-tRNA synthetases). tRNAs cope with the degeneracy of the genetic code in two manners: having more than one tRNA (with a specific anti-codon) for a particular amino acid; and 'wobble' base-pairing, i.e. permitting non-standard base-pairing at the 3rd anti-codon position. The record is from RNAcentral. Lineage: Bacteria; Pseudomonadati; Bacteroidota; Bacteroidia; Bacteroidales; Paludibacteraceae.